GAUGAACGCUGGCGGCGUGCCUAAUACAUGCAAGUCGAGCGAACAGACGAGGAGCUUGCUCCUCUGACGUUAGCGGCGGACGGGUGAGUAACACGUGGAUAACCUACCUAUAAGACUGGGAUAACUUCGGGAAACCGGAGCUAAUACCGGAUAAUAUAUUGAACCGCAUGGUUCAAUAGUGAAAGACGGUUUUGCUGUCACUUAUAGAUGGAUCCGCGCCGCAUUAGCUAGUUGGUAAGGUAACGGCUUACCAAGGCAACGAUGCGUAGCCGACCUGAGAGGGUGAUCGGCCACACUGGAGCUGAGACACGGUCCAGACUCCUACGGGAGGCAGCAGUAGGGAAUCUUCCGCAAUGGGCGAAAGCCUGACGGAGCAACGCCGCGUGAGUGAUGAAGGUCUUCGGAUCGUAAAGCUCUGUUAUUAGGGAAGAACAAAUGUGUAAGUAACUAUGCACGUCUUGACGGUACCUAAUCAGAAAGCCACGACUAACUACGUG
This 497-nucleotide ribosomal RNA is filed under the name uncultured bacterium. RNAcentral describes it as "partial 16S ribosomal RNA". It matches the Rfam family "Bacterial small subunit ribosomal RNA", at positions 28 to 507 of the family's 1533-position model. The record is from RNAcentral.